AGAGGAGGCGGCUGCCCACAGCAGGGCCGCUCAAGCCACCCCACCCCCAUGCAGCCCACUUGGUGAGUCCCACCUGAAAAGCAUCCCCACUGAGAAAUCUGGACUGGUCAGGUGAAAUACGGCUACCAACCUACCUGGAGUAUUGUAUUCCAUCCACUAACAGUGUGCAGUAGCAUGAUCUCGGCUCCCUGCAACCUCUGCCUCCUGAAUUGAAGUGAUUCUCCUGCCUCAGUCUCCCAAGUAGCUGGGAUUACAGGCGUGCGCCACCACACUCUGAGAAUUUUUGUAUUUUUACUUCUAAAAUUAGGGGUUUCACCACAUUGGCCAGGUAGGUCUCGAACUCCUGACCUCAAGUGAUCCACCCACCUUGGUUUCCCAAAGCGGUGAGAUUACAGGCAUGGCCACUUCGCCUGGCCAAGAAUGCUUUCUGUACGUGGUGCACAAUAUUUGCAGAAGACAAAUGUCUUCUCACCGAACAUGAUGGCUUUAAAGCAUCCAACUGGUGGAGCUAAGGACUGCUGCAAACAUAUUUUAUAGAAAUGCUGUGUGCCUUAAAGUUUUCAGAAGGAAGCGAUGCCUGGGGAUGAAGGAAGGACCUGGAAGAAUGGCUGGGGGACUCCAGUUCUGGCUGAAUGAUGGUUGAUUCGAUGUUACGAAGGCUCCUUCUGACUAAUGCAAUUAAUAUGCUGUCUGGCUUAUGCAUUGUAUGCCAAUGUAUCAGCUAAAUGACACAAAAGUAAGGAAGUCACAAAGCCCCCAAACAGAGGGAAUCCAGGAACCCUGUGAGGUAAGGUGCAUUCACCAUCAGAGUCUCUGCUGCCAGAUUUUGUGAACAAGAGAUGAAACCCAAGGCCCAUCGAAGGCUGGGAAGCUAAUUGGAGACUUUGCAGAUAAAGCUAGCAGUCUAAAGAUAAGUGAGUGUGAAAUAAAUUCAACCAGGCAGAAGAGGACGAUAAGGAAAGUUGUUUCUCUGAAAAAUAAAAAAAUCUCUCAAGAUUCAGAACCAUCAACUAGUCUUUAAAU
Molecule: long non-coding RNA, 1023 nt
Organism: Callithrix jacchus (white-tufted-ear marmoset)
Lineage: Eukaryota; Metazoa; Chordata; Mammalia; Primates; Cebidae
Source: RefSeq, a predicted model, not a curated record